Vitis vinifera (wine grape) is the source of this 164-nucleotide long non-coding RNA. RefSeq lists it as uncharacterized. The record is from RefSeq and is a predicted model, not a curated record. NCBI's taxonomy places the organism in Eukaryota, Viridiplantae, Streptophyta, Magnoliopsida, Vitales, Vitaceae. The transcript has 2 exons.
GUCGAGUUUAAAAUAUAGAUUAGGGAUUUUAAUAUGAUUUCUGAACAUUGGAGAGAGAUCAGAAACUGUCAGGGAAUGAUAUUAAGAACUGGUGGACAGGAGACUAGGUAAAAAAUAAUGGAAUGGGAAGGUGGAGUAAAGGCCACCAAAAAAAAAAAAAGAAA